This 266-nucleotide ribosomal RNA is filed under the name uncultured bacterium. RNAcentral's name for it is "partial 16S ribosomal RNA". It matches the Rfam family "Bacterial small subunit ribosomal RNA", at positions 88 to 354 of the family's 1533-position model. The record is from RNAcentral.
CAUUCGAGUGGCGGACGGGUGAGUAACACGUGGGUAACCUGCCUUACACAGGGGGAUAACACCUGGAAACAGGUGCUAAUACCGCAUAAGCGCACAGGGCCGCAUGGCCCGGUGUGAAAAACUCCGGUGGUGUAAGAUGGACCCGCGUCUGAUUAGCUUGUUGGCGGGGUAGGGGCCCACCAAGGCGACGAUCAGUAGCCGGCCUGAGAGGGUGGACGGCCACAUUGGGACUGAGACACGGCCCAAACUCCUACGGAAGGCAGCAG